GAUGCUGAUCACCUCACUCGCAGCAAGGAUCACCCCAAUUUGCCAUCACCAGGCCGUGACCUGGGUCCCCAGGGAGGGCACGGCACCUGCCUGCAUCGGGGGAUUUCCACCAGCCCCUGCCCAGGGCAGCUCGCCCAUGGCGUGCCGCGGCUGCUCGAAGGCAAGCCUCGUGGCGGGAGCGGGGCCCCACAGCCCAGUGGAGCUCGUCCCCUGGUAAGGACGGCGCGGGGAAGGUCUGCACAGCUGGGAGCUGCACCCAGCCGGGGAGCGGGGGUCCCAGGGGGUGCUCAGCACCGCGCCAGAGUUGGCAGGGGACAACAAAUGAUUCACAAUCUCAGCAGCGGAUGGGAUGUAAGGAUGCUGAACCCUUGCAGAUCUGAGAGACCACGCGGGACUCCUACGCCAACCCACCACUUAGGGCCUCUCAGCCUGGAAAUCAGGAGACAACGGGUGAUGGAGAAUACUCCCUGACCACCAGCAAGCUGUUUCAACAGUUAAUUGCCCUUCCAUUAAAGCCUGAGUUCAUCUGGCUUCAGCUUCCAGCUGACCUCAGUAUAUAUACAUUUUUGUCUGCUUUUAUCAGAAACCUGCUCCCUCUGUAAAUACCUACCGACUGUGGGAGAGGGGUAAUUUGCAGCCUCACAGAUCCACAUUACCCAUGCUGUCCUGACACUUGCAAGACCUUGUGCCAAGCUUUAAGCCAGGCAUAACAGGAUCCAUCCCACCUCCCCGUGGAAGGCCAAAAUCACCUUGUGACAGCCAAGAGAAAUCCAAAUCCAGAAUUGCUUUGCUAGAAAAGCAAACCCAUGUUCUGCCUUGCUUGCGAAGCGGGGGCCAUCUGUUGCCAGCUGUGCCUUGCUUCUCCCCAGGGCCACCUGCGCCCUGAGGCUGCAGAUGCUGGAGGCUGGCAGCAGCGCCAGCUGAGAGCCCACCGCCAGCCAGGGGUCCUCCAACGGCCAGGUGCCCCCUAACCUAGGACGAGGACAUGAAUGAAGCAGCCCAGCCCGGCCAAUGUGGAAAGGGAAAAUUGCAAAUGCUAGCAGUGUUGGAUUUGUGGAAGCCUUGAACCUCCCAGGGCGGGCCCCCAGCUCUCUCAAGCCGUGCCCAGCACACGGCCGGGAGGCCUGGCUGUAUCCACCCUCGCUGGGUGCAUCCCCUUCCCGUAGCCUUCCCAGCUUCCCAGAAAAAUUCCACUUCAAGAGCUAAAACACAAAGGCAAAAUGCAAACAAAAAAGGGUAUCUUUAAAAUUGUGUUGUGCUGCUUCCUGUCCCCAUGCACUCAGACACCCGCGGGCCCUGUCUGCCACCCCGCUGUGUAUUCCCGGUAAGCCCAGCAGCCGUUCCUGCCAUUUAUUUGCCACAGACUCACAGAUCUGUUUGGGGUGGGAGAGCUGCUCCUCUGAAAACAGAUUUCUGUACCCCCUAUGGUAGGAGGAGCACACAUUUCCAUUUUUUCCUGCUAAAAAGCUGA
This 1471-nucleotide long non-coding RNA is filed under the name Anser brachyrhynchus (Pink-footed goose). RNAcentral describes it as "lncRNA (ENSABRG00000002116.1)". The record is from RNAcentral. Lineage: Eukaryota; Metazoa; Chordata; Aves; Anseriformes; Anatidae.